Molecule: long non-coding RNA, 201 nt
Filed under: Elaeis guineensis (African oil palm)
Lineage: Eukaryota; Viridiplantae; Streptophyta; Magnoliopsida; Arecales; Arecaceae
Description: long non-coding RNA (EGUI_LNC076229)
Source: RNAcentral
AUAAGUAUGGCAGCUUUGAUCGAUGGUCAUUAAUUGAGAGCUAUUUGCAUAGAUUAAGUCUAUAUCGAGUUAAUAGCAUAUCCCUCCCAUCGAUCUCACUAACCUAGCCAAUAAGGUAAAUCAUAUUUUGAUUAGAUCAUUUAAUGAUUGGAGUUGACCCAUGCUAACUAGAAAAUUAGUAUGACUGAUUUAGGUACCCCU